GCAGCUGUAGAGAAGGAGGAGGAGAGGAAAGGAAAAAAGAAAGUCAGAACAAUUGUAAGCAGAGGUCCAUAUUCAUGAUAAGACAGAACAAUUGUAAGCAGAGGCCCAUAUUCAUGAUAAGACAGAACAAUUGUAAGCAGAGGCCCAUAUUCAUGAUAAGACAGAACAAUUGUAAGCAGAGGCCCAUAUUCAUGAUAAGACAGAACAAUUGUAAGCAGAGGCCCAUAUUCAUGAUAAGACAGAACAAUUGUAAGCAGAGGCCCAUAUUCAUGAUAAGACAGAACAAUUGUAAGCAGAGGCCCAUAUUCAUGAUAAGACAGAACAAUUGUAAGCAGAGGCCCAUAUUCAUGAUAAGACAGAACAAUUGUAAGCAGAGGCCCAUAUUCAUGAUAAGACAGAACAAUUGUAAGCAGAGGCCCAUAUUCAUGAUAAGACAGAACAAUUGUAAGCAGAGGCCCAUAUUCAUGAUAAGACAGAACAAUUGUAAGCAGAGGCCCAUAUUCAUGAUAAGACAGAACAAUUGUAAGCAGAGGCCCAUAUUCAUGAUAAGACAGAACAAUUGUAAGCAGAGGCCCAUAUUCAUGAUAAGACAGAACAAUUGUAAGCAGAGGCCCAUAUUCAUGAUAAGACAGAACAAUUGUAAGCAGAGGCCCAUAUUCAUGAUAAGACAGAACAAUUGUAAGCAGAGGCCCAUAUUCAUGAUAAGACAGAACAAUUGUAAGCAGAGGCCCAUAUUCAUGAUAAGACAGAACAAUUGUAAGCAGAGGCCCAUAUUCAUGAUAAGACAGAACAAUUGUAAGCAGAGGCCCAUAUUCAUGAUAAGACAGAACAAUUGUAAGCAGAGGCCCAUAUUCAUGAUAAGACAGAACAAUUGUAAGCAGAGGCCCAUAUUCAUGAUAAGACAGAACAAUUGUAAGCAGAGGCCCAUAUUCAUGAUAAGACAGAACAAU
Molecule: long non-coding RNA, 950 nt
Organism: Oncorhynchus keta (chum salmon)
Lineage: Eukaryota; Metazoa; Chordata; Actinopteri; Salmoniformes; Salmonidae
Exons: 3
Source: RefSeq, a predicted model, not a curated record